UCAGUAUCGACCUCUGGUCUCUACAUAUAUGCACACACAUCCAGCAGGCAAAGUACCUUCUAUCAGCACGCAUGGGAUUCAGUUGGAGUGAAGCUUCUUGUUGGGCACCAGCUCAAUUUCUUCAUUUUUUGAAGAUUCAGGGAUCUACAUG
This is a long non-coding RNA of Microtus oregoni (creeping vole), 151 nucleotides long. RefSeq lists it as uncharacterized. The transcript is spliced from 3 exons. The record is from RefSeq and is a predicted model, not a curated record. Lineage: Eukaryota; Metazoa; Chordata; Mammalia; Rodentia; Cricetidae.